RNAcentral lists this long non-coding RNA (342 nucleotides) under Brassica napus (rape). Its description in RNAcentral is "long non-coding RNA (BNAP_LNC022900)". The record is from RNAcentral. Lineage: Eukaryota; Viridiplantae; Streptophyta; Magnoliopsida; Brassicales; Brassicaceae.
CACACCUUUUCAGAGUUGUUUUCAUUUGUGAGAACCACCCCCACUCAAUCCCUCUCUCUUUCUUCUCUUCACGCCUUGUUGUACCAGAUUGAAGCAGCUCCAUUUUCUUUAGCCUAGAUCUUCCCUCAAAUGCUUCUAAUCUCACACGCCAAGCUCAACCACAAGCUAGACCCCUCUUCUGACCUUGUUAAACACCUAAAAGGACUCCCUUGAAGCUGACUCUCCAAAAGAAACACCAACAGACACAAGCUUGAAUUUUAAAGGAUCUAGCUCUUGAAAAAUCUCAAGAACUCUCAAGAACACUCAAGAACACUCAAGAAAAACGAAAUCACUCUCUCCUUU